This is a long non-coding RNA of Gavialis gangeticus (Gharial), 1888 nucleotides long. RefSeq lists it as uncharacterized. The transcript has 2 exons. The record is from RefSeq and is a predicted model, not a curated record. Lineage: Eukaryota; Metazoa; Chordata; Crocodylia; Gavialidae.
UAUAUAUAUUUUCCUUUGCAAGAGUCCCUGCUGGUUUAUUUUUCCCUCAAAUUGAUAUUACAGUGGAAAUGAUUGGCACCUUGUCUUCUAAAUUAAAUCCUGUUUGGAGCAUGACUAUGUAGAAUGCCAGCUAAAGGACUGUGAGAUGGCAUCCCCUAGAAGCUAUUGAGGUAGGAUUAUUGAAGUUGAUUUCCUUGGAAAACAGAUUGCUGUAGCUCAUUACGUACUUGGAAGCAAGCUAAGUAGAAACCAGCCAGCCAAGAAAAUGUUGACUUGUGUAUGCCUUUGCUCAGGAACAGAUAACAACCUGCUUUUAAUGCAGCCGGAACCUGUCUGUUGGCCAGAUGUACACAAUGAAAUAAGAAGUCCUUAUUGACAUUUAUCUGAAGACACUUAUGGUGUCUUUGGUUAAAAGGGACCAGAUUUCACUCUGUACCCUAGUCUAAGGCUACAGAAAAAUUAAAGCCUUAGGAAAUGAAUUCUUUGUUUGGAGUAUUAAAUGUCAGUCGGGCCACAAAAAUCAAAAGCUCUUUGUAGAUGAAAUUUUAGUAUGCAUCACUACCAAGUAACAUGGCCUUUGGAUUCCAGGUGAUGCAGCUUAGCAUUUAAAUGUUGUGAGGCUGCUUCUUAGAUAGCUUUCAUACCAGAUCCGAAAAAGCUUUCCGGAUUUAGGAGUUACUUUGUGUGACCCGAGACUUUGUAAAGGAAACCAUAUGUGUCCCAUUAAAGUCCAGUACAAGCCAGCAAUUAGUUCCAAGUUCUUUAAGGCUUUCUAGAGCAACCCAUAGUACAGGUAGAGCAUCAUAAUAAGGCUCAUUUAAGUAAUCUAUGCAUGGCUACACUUCAGUCUUUUAAUAUACUGUAGUGCCUGGUAGGGUAAAUGUAAGUAGCAGUUUAUUUCAGGGGAGUUAUCAGUGUUUAGAAACUAAGUAAAAUUGGCUGCAUAAAACUGGGUAUUAAGCCAGAGGUGUGAAAAUUCACGACUCUGGAGGUAACAUUGCAAUAAAAGGGGCAUUAGGGGACUAGAAAAAUGUGUACUCCUUUGCCGGUGUAACUUAGCAGAAACACUGUUGGCUCCUUCUAGGCCUAAAUUGUCUAAUGAUCUGUAAAAGCCAUAUAUCUAGAAUUAGCUGUAUGACUAUGUAAUGUCAGGCAAAGUAACCGAAGUUGAGACAACAGGCACUUUGUCAACAUUUUGUCUCAACUUGGAAGCCGGUAACAGUGUAGAUUUUUAAGUGCAAUUGAUUAAAUAAUAGACGAAGUUACUGUAGGGUAUUUUGCUCCUCUGAACUCUUUUUAAGAACGCCAAUUUGUGCAGCUCUUGAAAAUUUGAAUGUGAAUGGGCUCAUUCAUCUCGUGUUACUUUAAAACUUGCUAUAUACCAAGGGAUGCCCUGUGAACAAAAAGGAGCUCAUAAAAGUGCUCCAAUUUAGUUUCUUGCUGCACAGAUUGAGCAGUUUUUAAAGCCUGUAUCAGAAGAGAUCACCACAAGAAAGGCAUAGUAUACAUAUUAUAUGCUGUACUGCAUGCUGAGUGGUAACAAUAACUGUGUAAUAUGAUGAAGACCUUUCACCAUACUGGUACUAUUUCAAUUAAUAUAUUUUGGUAUUGAAAUAAUUUGAUUACCUCAGCUUUUUCAUGUUUGACUGUGAUUUUUGGGGAAAAAAAAUACCGAAAUAGAGAAACUGUGACAGUGGUAUCCUUUAAACAUAGCAGUGCCUUGCACAUGACGUCACUGAUGCACUAAGCAUGUUACAAAAGUGGAUGUCAUGGGUUGUAUUGCUUGCACCCUUUUUUUUUAAAGGAGAAACGGUUUUGGUGAAAGGACUUAAAAUUAACCUAGUGGAAAAUAUUAGCACAUGUGGUUCAAUUUUUUAAGGGGGGGGGG